Coregonus clupeaformis (lake whitefish) is the source of this 354-nucleotide long non-coding RNA. RefSeq lists it as uncharacterized. NCBI's taxonomy places the organism in Eukaryota, Metazoa, Chordata, Actinopteri, Salmoniformes, Salmonidae. The transcript has 3 exons. The record is from RefSeq and is a predicted model, not a curated record.
UGCUGCAUUAGUGGUGGUAGUAAUACUAAUUAUCAUGUCAGCUUGCCUGUCGACCAAGAAGGGGAAAGUUACACUUUUAUUUCUUUUUGGAGGGAGUUAUGUAGAUUUGUGUUUCUUGAUAGCUGUUUUGUUCUGUUUUGAUAUCUUGGCAUUUUUCUCAUCAGUGGGAGGAGUCAUAGUAACCAGCCAAUAACCAGUAUGCAGGACAUGGAUGCAGCAAAGGGUGCUUCCUCAGAUCCCUCACCAUCAAGGAAAGAGCAGAAAGACUCCAGCAGUGAAAUCCACACAAACUACUACACCAACGAUCAGCUACACGGCAACAUAGAGGCUGAAGAGGAUGGCGACCCAUACCAG